GAUGAACGCUGGCGGCGUGCCUAAUACAUGCAAGUCGAGCGAACAGACGAGGAGCUUGCUCCUCUGACGUUAGCGGAGGACGGGUGAGUAACACGUGUAUAACCUACCUAUAAGACUGGGAUAACUUCGGGAAACCGGAGCUAAUACCGGAUAACAUGUUGAACCGCAGUGUUCAACAGAGAAAGACGGUCUUGCUGGCACUUAUAGAUGGAUCCCAGCCGCAUUGUCGAGUAGGUAAGGUAACGGCUUACGAAGGCAACGAUGCGUAGCCGACGUGAUAGGGUGAUCGCACACACGGGAACUGGGACACGGUCCAGACUCCUAAGGGAGGCAGCAGUAGGGAAUCUGCCGCAGUGGGCGAAAGCCUGACGGAGCAACGCCGAGUGAGUGAAGAAGGUCUUCGGAUCGUAAAACUCUGUUAUGAGGGAAGAACAAAUGUGUAAGUAACUAUGCACGUCUUGACGGUACCUAAUCAGAAAGCCACGGCUAACUACGUG
This 497-nucleotide ribosomal RNA is filed under the name uncultured bacterium. Its description in RNAcentral is "partial 16S ribosomal RNA". It matches the Rfam family "Bacterial small subunit ribosomal RNA", at positions 28 to 507 of the family's 1533-position model. The record is from RNAcentral.